ACGCUUCUUUUCUACCGAGUGCUUGCACUCACUUGAAAAGAGGAGAGGCGGACGGGUGAGUAACACGUGGGUAACCUGCCCAUCACAGGGGGAUAACACUUGGAAACAGGUGCUAAUACCGCAUAAUAGUCGACACCGCAUGGUGUUGAUUUGAAAGACGCUUUCGGGUGUCACUGAUGGAUGGACCCGCGGUGCAUUAGCUAGUUGGUGAGGUAACGGCUCACCAAGGCGAUGAUGCAUAGCCGACCUGAGAGGGUGAUCGGCCACACUGGGACUGGGACACGGCCCAGACUCCUACGGGAGGCAGCAGUAGGGAAUCUUCGGCAAUGGACGAAAGUCUGACCGAGCAACGCCGCGUGAGUGAAGAAGGUUUUCGGAUCGUAAAACUCUGUUGUUAGAGAAGAAUAAGUAGGAGAGUAACUGCUCUUACCUUGACGGUAUCUAACCAGAAAGCCACGGCUAACUACGUGCCAGCAGCCGCGGUAAUACGUAGGUGGCAAGCGUUGUCCGGAUUUAUUGGGCGUAAAGCGAGCGCAGGCGGUUUUCUUAAGUCUGAUGUGAAAGCCCCCCGGCUCAACUGGGGGAGGGUCAUUGGAAAACUGGGAGACUUGAGUGCAGAAGAGGGAGAGUGGAAUUCCCAUGUGUAGCGG
This 650-nucleotide ribosomal RNA is filed under the name uncultured bacterium. RNAcentral's name for it is "bacterial SSU rRNA". It matches the Rfam family "Bacterial small subunit ribosomal RNA", at positions 59 to 681 of the family's 1533-position model. The record is from RNAcentral.